This 484-nucleotide ribosomal RNA is filed under the name uncultured bacterium. RNAcentral's name for it is "partial 16S ribosomal RNA". It matches the Rfam family "Bacterial small subunit ribosomal RNA", at positions 30 to 507 of the family's 1533-position model. The record is from RNAcentral.
AUUGAACGCUGGCGGCAGGCCUAACACAUGCAAGUCGAGCGGAUGAAGGGAGCUUGCUCCUGGAUUCAGCGGCGGACGGGUGAGUAAUGCCUAGGAAUCUGCCUGGUAGUGGGGGAUAACGUCCGGAAACGGGCGCUAAUACCGCAUACGUCCUGAGGGAGAAAGUGGGGGAUCUUCGGACCUCACGCUAUCAGAUGAGCCUAGGUCGGAUUAGCUAGUUGGUGGGGUAAAGGCCUACCAAGGCGACGAUCCGUAACUGGUCUGAGAGGAUGAUCAGCCACACUGGAACUGAGACACGGUCCAGACUCCUACGGGAGGCAGCAGCGGGGAAUAUUGGACAAUGGGCGAAAGCCUGAUCCAGCCAUGCCGCGUGUGUGAAGAAGGUCUUCGGAUUGUAAAGCACUUUAAGUUGGGAGGAAGGGCAGUAAGUUAAUACCUUGCUGUUUUGACGUUACCAACAGAGUAAGCACCGGCUAACUUCGUG